GCCAGGAGAGCAUGGGCGGGUCAUGCGCUCGACUUGUAAUCGAGAAUCCGUGGGUUCGAAUCCCACUCCUGGCU
Molecule: transfer RNA, 74 nt
Filed under: uncultured archaeon A07HB70
Lineage: Archaea
Rfam family: tRNA
About the family: Transfer RNA (tRNA) molecules are approximately 80 nucleotides in length.
Source: Rfam by way of RNAcentral